This 795-nucleotide ribosomal RNA is filed under the name Bacillus subtilis. Its description in RNAcentral is "bacterial SSU rRNA". It matches the Rfam family "Bacterial small subunit ribosomal RNA", at positions 565 to 1353 of the family's 1533-position model. Lineage: Bacteria; Bacillati; Bacillota; Bacilli; Caryophanales; Bacillaceae. The record is from RNAcentral.
GGGCUUCGCAGGCGGUUUUUUAAGUUCUGAUUGUGAAAGCCCCCCGGCUUAACCGGGGAGGGUCAUUGGAAACUUGGGGAACUUUGAGUGCAGAAGAGGAGAGUGGAAUUUCCACGUGUAGCGGUGAAAUGCGUAGAGAUGUGGAGGAACACCAGUGGCGAAGGCGACUCUCUGGUCUGUAACUGACGCUGAGGAGCGAAAGCGUGGGGAGCGAACAGGAUUAGAUACCCUGGUAGUCCACGCCGUAAACGAUGAGUGCUAAGUGUUAGGGGGUUUCCGCCCCUUAGUGCUGCAGCUAACGCAUUAAGCACUCCGCCUGGGGAGUACGGUCGCAAGACUGAAACUCAAAGGAAUUGACGGGGGCCCGCACAAGCGGUGGAGCAUGUGGUUUAAUUCGAAGCAACGCGAAGAACCUUACCAGGUCUUGACAUCCUCUGACAAUCCUAGAGAUAGGACGUCCCCUUCGGGGGCAGAGUGACAGGUGGUGCAUGGUUGUCGUCAGCUCGUGUCGUGAGAUGUUGGGUUAAGUCCCGCAACGAGCGCAACCCUUGAUCUUAGUUGCCAGCAUUCAGUUGGGCACUCUAAGGUGACUGCCGGUGACAAACCGGAGGAAGGUGGGGAUGACGUCAAAUCAUCAUGCCCCUUAUGACCUGGGCUACACACGUGCUACAAUGGACAGAACAAAGGGCAGCGAAACCGCGAGGUUAAGCCAAUCCCAUCAAUCUGUUCUCAGUUCGGAUCGCAGUCUGCAACUCGACUGCGUGAAGCUGGAAUCGCUAGUAAUCGCGGAUCACA